Molecule: ribosomal RNA, 253 nt
Filed under: uncultured bacterium
Lineage: Bacteria
Description: partial 16S ribosomal RNA
Rfam family: Bacterial small subunit ribosomal RNA
Source: RNAcentral
UACGUAGGGGGCAAGCGUUGUCCGGAUUUAUUGGGCGUAAAGAGCGUGUAGGCGGUUUGGUAGGUCCGUUGUGAAAACUCGAGGCUCAACCUCGAGACGCCGAUGGAAACCAUCAGACUAGAGUCCGGGAGAGGUGAGUGGAAUUCCCAGUGUAGCGGUGAAAUGCGUAGAUAUUGGGAGGAACACCAGUGGCGAAGGCGGCUCACUGGACCGGAACUGACGCUGAUGCGCGAAAGCGUGGGGAGCAAACGGG